UGCGCCGACAAAGGCCACCGCUGCGGCCUCUGACUUGCUCUCCUACGUCUCCUCUCUCAACGUCAACUCCCACCUCCCAUCUUGGAGAUCCUCGCCUGGCGGGCGUCAUCUCCCCCAUCCCCCGCCUCCCAAACCGCCGGUGGGUGAGCCUCUAGGGCGGCGGGAGCGAGCUGCUCCCCUGUGCGCUCGCCAAGGCCGCCGUCGCCCGCGACUACUUUGUCAAUGGGUUGGGGACGGACGAAAGGGGGAGAGACGCUGUGGAUUCGCCUCGUGGCGGGGAUGGAAUUACUCACUUGGGAGCUCGCUAAGGCCGUCGACCGCGGGCAUCACGUGUGGACUAGAUCUACAUAGGCGGAUGAUUCAGUUCGGGAUCUUGUGUCGAGAACAUGCAGCCUGUCCGUGAAUCUUUUGCAAGGCAGACUGGUAGUGCUAUGUCAUGCGUCCAUUCAGUUCACUGUGUCACCAAAGCCUAAACUGAAACCAUGCACGUGGCCAGAAAGUUUUCAGUGAGAGAGCUUGGUCAGACAUGGAAGUGGAGCAUCAGAAGUUGCUGGAUGAAAGAGAGAGGAUUCUGAAGAGGCCGAGAGGACAAUUGUCAAGACAAAACCCAUAUCGAAGGAGCAAGUAGCAGAUGAAAUCAUUUGUUCUAGGACAUCUUUUUUUUCUGGUAGGAAGGUUAGUAAUAGCCUCUUAAUUUGGUAGUUGGGAUACCAAUAAUCUUUCUGAAGAAGGAGCGGAAGCCUCUUACUGAAGUGGGACAGUUUGAAUUACACGUCGAUGAGAGGACAAUUCAAAGAUCAGAAUUGUAUACCAUGGUAAAUGAGAAGGAGAUCAGCUACAAGAGGUCGCAAGAGGAGAAUGAAUUUUCGCAAAAGGUAUAUCCACCUGAUCCUCACAAUCUCAGAGGUUGCAGUGGUGCAAGUGUAAGCACUUUUUUCUAAUAUGCCACGGUAAAUGAGAAGGAGAUAAGCUACAAGAAGUCGCAAGAGGAGAAUGAAUUUUCGCAAAAGGUAUAUCCACCUGAUCCUCACAAUCUCAGAGGUUGCAGUGGUGCAAGUGUAAGCACUUUUUCUAAUAUGUGUGCGAAGAUCGAGAAAGAGAAGGCCGCCGAAGCAUCUAAGAAGACCAUGUUGCGACAAGCACAGUCCCUCCCAAAGUUCGACAGACCGUUAUGUCCACAAAGGCAAGCAUAAACCACCAAAUUAUGUCGUUUAUAUUGGUUUACCUUCCUCCAGUUUUGUCAUAUCACAGGCCUACAACCGAUAUUUCCUCGGAGGUCAACGAAGCAGGUGAUCAAAACAAGGUCGCUACAGCUUCAGGUGAAUGAAUGAAGGGCGAGAAGGCACGUUUUCAUGACAUGAUCUUAGUCUCCAUAUCAGAGUAACAAAAGUAUCAAAUUCAAAAAUGCGGAGGAUGCUCUAUGAUUAGGAAGUGAACUCUUCGUAUCUGAAGCUAAUAUUUCUUUCUUUUCUUACAUAGUGUUGCUGCCCACAUAACAAACCUAGGUGGGCACGGAUGGGAGAUGUUUGCCAGGCAGUAUACUUGACGGAACAAUUCAGAAUAUUGAGUCCUUUGUCACAUUCAAACAUAUACCUCUUACAUCAUGCUGCAAAGCAGGAGAAAUGCAAGUAUAGAAAUGUUGCAAGGAUAUUGCAAUUCCAUCUCACAUGAGUCAAUUUUUUCUAGCACGAUGAAAUUUAUCCUACAUGGCUUAAUCUUAUUAUAAUUUGGAAUUUACUAAUAGACAAAUAAUUCUAUUUGGCCCUUCUUUGCACACUACCCAUUGAUGUAUCUCAGUUAAAUUAUUUAUUUGUAUAGAGCACAUAAGGUGAUAUAAGAAAUGGCAAAUGAAGGUCUGGAGCCUAAUCUCAAGAUGUAUACUACCUCGAUUAAAGGUUGGCAAAUGCAUCACUUCCAGAUGGAGCAUUGGAAUGUUUCUAAGAGAUGAAACCGAUGCGACUGAAGCUUGAUGAGGCCGCUUAUUAUUGCUUGGUGUCCACUUCUCUUGAGGAAAAAUGUAAUGAAGCACAUGCAUAGGAAUCUUGUGUGUUUGCAGAGAAAUGUUUGAUAUCCACUUACGAGAGGAUAUAAACGAUUUAUAAUAAACUGUUGGUCAUCGGAGGGGUUAAGAGUGGUUAGGAAAUCUAGAGUGUCAAUAUAGUUCCUAUAAAAUACUUAUAAAAAUGCAUAAAGUUUAUAGAAAAGAACAAAGUGUAUAGGAAAGAGAGGCACUCUAUAUUUUUUAUUGACUUUUGCAUUUUGUGUUAUUGUUUAAGA
Long non-coding RNA from Lolium perenne, 2277 nucleotides. RefSeq lists it as uncharacterized. The record is from RefSeq and is a predicted model, not a curated record. Lineage: Eukaryota; Viridiplantae; Streptophyta; Magnoliopsida; Poales; Poaceae.